GCGGGAGUAGUUCAGCGGUAGAACGCUUCCUUGCCAAGGAAGAGGUCGCGGGUUCGAUCCCCGUCUCCCGCUCCA
Molecule: transfer RNA, 75 nt
Filed under: Candidatus Komeilibacteria bacterium RIFCSPHIGHO2_01_FULL_52_14
Lineage: Bacteria; Candidatus Komeiliibacteriota
Also listed under: 2 other names
Description: tRNA-Gly
Rfam family: tRNA
About the family: Transfer RNA (tRNA) molecules are approximately 80 nucleotides in length. Their secondary structure includes four short double-helical elements and three loops (D, anti-codon, and T loops). Further hydrogen bonds mediate the characteristic L-shaped molecular structure. tRNAs have two regions of fundamental functional importance: the anti-codon, which is responsible for specific mRNA codon recognition, and the 3' end, to which the tRNAs corresponding amino acid is attached (by aminoacyl-tRNA synthetases). tRNAs cope with the degeneracy of the genetic code in two manners: having more than one tRNA (with a specific anti-codon) for a particular amino acid; and 'wobble' base-pairing, i.e. permitting non-standard base-pairing at the 3rd anti-codon position.
Source: RNAcentral